CCGACCUGCUUUGUGACUU
RNAcentral lists this microRNA (19 nucleotides) under Equus caballus (horse). Its description in RNAcentral is "eca-miR-9119". Lineage: Eukaryota; Metazoa; Chordata; Mammalia; Perissodactyla; Equidae. The record is from miRBase by way of RNAcentral.